This 928-nucleotide ribosomal RNA is filed under the name uncultured bacterium. Its description in RNAcentral is "bacterial SSU rRNA". It matches the Rfam family "Bacterial small subunit ribosomal RNA", at positions 30 to 942 of the family's 1533-position model. The record is from RNAcentral.
CAGUCGAACGCGUCUUGGUUAUUGAUGUUAGAUGCUUGCAUUUAACUGAUUUAACAUUGAGACGAGUGGCAAACUGGUGAGUAACACGUGGGUAACCUGCCCUUGAAGUAGGGGAUAACACUUGGAAACAGGUGCUAAUACCGUAUAACAACCAAAACCACCUGGUUUUGGUUUAAAAGAUGGCUUCGGCUAUCACUUUAGGAUGGACCCGCGGCGUAUUAGCUUGUUGGUAAGGUAACGGCCUACCAAGGCAAUGAUACGUAGCCGACCUGAGAGGGUAAUCGGCCACAUUGGGACUGAGACACGGCCCAAACUCCUACGGGAGGCAGCAGUAGGGAAUCUUCCACAAUGGACGAAAGUCUGAUGGAGCAACGCCGCGUGAGUGAUGAAGGGUUUCGGCUCGUAAAACUCUGUUGUUGGAGAAGAACAGGUGUGAGAGUAACUGUUCACAUCUUGACGGUAUCCAACCAGAAAGCCACGGCUAACUACGUGCCAGCAGCCGCGGUAAUACGUAGGUGGCAAGCGUUGUCCGGAUUUAUUGGGCGUAAAGCGAGCGCAGGCGGUUUCUUAGGUCUGAUGUGAAAGCCUUCGGCUUAACCGGAGAAGUGCAUCGGAAACCAGGAGACUUGAGUGCAGAAGAGGACAGUGGAACUCCAUGUGUAGCGGUGAAAUGCGUAGAUAUAUGGAAGAACACCAGUGGCGAAGGCGGCUGUCUGGUCUGUAACUGACGCUGAGGCUCGAAAGCAUGGGUAGCGAACAGGAUUAGAUACCCUGGUAGUCCAUGCCGUANACGAUGAGUGCUAAGUGUUGGAGGGUUUCCGCCCUUCAGUGCUGCAGCUAACGCAUUAAGCACUCCGCCUGGGGAGUACGACCGCAAGGUUGAAACUCAAAGGAAUUGACGGGGGCCCGCACAAGCGGUGGAGCAUGU